CCUACGGGUGGCUGCAGUCGAGAAUCUUCGGCAAUGGACGAAAGUCUGACCGAGCGACGCCGCGUGCGGGAUGAAGGCCUUUGGGUUGUAAACCGCUGUCGUAGAGGAGCAAAGGUAUUGGGGUUCUCCCCUUUAUUUGAGUGAUUCUAGGAGGAAGGAGAGGCUAAGCUCGUGCCAGCAGCCGCGGUAAGACGAGCUCUCCAAACGUUAUUCGGUAUCACUGGGCUUAAAGAGUUCGUAGGCGGCUUUGUAGGUGAGGUGUGAAAGCCCACGGC
Molecule: ribosomal RNA, 275 nt
Filed under: uncultured bacterium
Lineage: Bacteria
Description: partial 16S ribosomal RNA
Rfam family: Bacterial small subunit ribosomal RNA
Source: RNAcentral